UUGAGCCUAAAAUGGACCUAAGCAUAAUGCAGAACAGCAAUCUUAUUAAAAUGAGCUCCUCUCCUGUCAGAACAGAUGAUCAAAAGUGUUUGUGUGCCAAAAGUGUUUCUUGUUGCCAAGAAGCUUUUAGAAAAGAGCAAAGGUGCUUUAAGUAUUCACCACCUGAUUUCUUGACAAAUAUAUUAAAGGAGGGGAGCAACACUUAUGUCGUUAAAUGUUUUCUGUUAAAUGUUUUCUUUUGUGUCUUCUAAUUGUGUGCUGAGAUCAGUGAUAUUAAUCUUCUGCCUGUAAUACUCUUCUAGGGCUCAUUGAAUUCAAUCUUUAUAGCAACAUAGAGAGAAGUCUGGUAUAGUGUUAGUGUGUUGUGUGAUAACAAGGCUUUGUUUUGGAAACCAAUGCAGAAACUUUAGAAAAAUGUUUCAGCUUCCAAUUCCAAUUUUAAUAUAAUACUAGCUUUGUCAGGGGAAAGCUAGAGUACAAAUCAGAAGAAUGUUUUUUGUAAAUCAUACAUACAGGAUAUAUUUCCCUACUUACAUAUUUGUGUCCUUUUUUUCUUUCAAGAAAUGUUUAUCAAAUUGACAAUUUUCUACUCAUUUACAGUAAAAGUUUUUUAUCAAAUGUGCAAAUCUUGAAAUUCAAAUGUAUGUCAUUGCAAAGAAAUAGUUUCAGAUUCAGUGAGACGCUUCUUUCGUAACAUUUUACAUUGAUUGUGGAACCAAGUGUUUUGCUUUUGCAUGCUAUUUGUAAAUGUUAAAAUUUUGUCAUUGUAGCUAAAUUUGGUGGAUCAUUAAGAGAAUAGAAUACAGAUACAUUUAAAAAAAAAAAAAAAA
This is a long non-coding RNA of Oxyura jamaicensis (ruddy duck), 830 nucleotides long. RefSeq lists it as uncharacterized. Lineage: Eukaryota; Metazoa; Chordata; Aves; Anseriformes; Anatidae. The record is from RefSeq and is a predicted model, not a curated record. The transcript is spliced from 3 exons.